Molecule: long non-coding RNA, 263 nt
Filed under: Elaeis guineensis (African oil palm)
Lineage: Eukaryota; Viridiplantae; Streptophyta; Magnoliopsida; Arecales; Arecaceae
Description: long non-coding RNA (EGUI_LNC063249)
Source: RNAcentral
GCACCCCCUGACGACGUCUACAUCAGACAAGUCAAACGAUAAGAAAGGUUCGGCAGACGACAAUAUUAGUGCAACGCACAGACGAGGUAACACAAAACGCUCUUUUUAUUCCAUUUUCGAUAUACACACUACAAAGCCAGGAAGGCCAAGGAAAGAAGGGCAAAACGACAAAAAGGAAGUAACUACAUGACAAGACAGAAAGACAAAAAGAGCUCUAAGAAGGCCCUGCUCCCUCCGACCUAGAGUUAUCUAUUCCGUUCCUC